Odocoileus virginianus texanus is the source of this 843-nucleotide non-coding RNA. NCBI's taxonomy places the organism in Eukaryota, Metazoa, Chordata, Mammalia, Artiodactyla, Cervidae. The record is from RefSeq and is a predicted model, not a curated record.
UGUCAGGUGAAUUCUUUACCACUGAGCCACCAGGAAAGCCCCCAAUGGACUGUUACAAAGAUUAAUUAACACAUAAGAAAGCUCUUGUAAAGUUACUGGGCCAGGGCAAACACUAGGGAGCGAGUUCUCUGUCUUUGGAUGCCCCUCCAUGGAACCACUUUGUACUUCUCUGACCCAGCACUGCCUGGUCAAGAAAUUGACUAGUGUGUGACUUGUACUGUAGAGCUUACAAAGCACCGUCACAUAAUCGCUAAGGCCUCCCAACAAGGAAAUGACGUGUGCAUCAUCCCCACUUCAGGGUUGUGGGAAGUGAGGCUAAAGGUAUGAAGCACCACAUCUGAGAUGCAAGUGGGCCUUAAUAUGGAUCUUCCAAUGUUGGAGCCUAUAAUGUUCUUUCCAUUAAAUACCUUUCCACCAAUUUGUAACAGAGCUCUACAAACUUACACAUUUUAAAUUCCUUUUAUUACUUACUAUUAUUUCAGAAAUAAGGUUACCUUAUUUAACACUGUUAUUCUGGUUAUCAUUUGAAUGACUGCAUAAUACAACAUUUUACUGUAAUUUACUCAUCAGCGCCAGAUCAUCUCUCAUUUAGGCCAUUCUGGUGUUGCUAUGUUAGAAGCAAUGCUACUACAGCCUUUUGGGGCCAGAGAAAUUUUCUGCUCUGAAUUAUUUCCUUAGAGUGAAUUCACAAGAAUUGGAUUAGGGACUCAAUGAGCAUUUUUACGACUCUUGAUUCACCUUGGUAUUAUUGACCUUCAAAGGAACCAAACCUUUUUAUUAGUUAUCCAUCAAUGUAUGCAUUCUUUGUUUUGUUUAGUCAGUUCUCCAUUCAUCCAUCCAUCC